This 387-nucleotide ribosomal RNA is filed under the name Triticum aestivum (bread wheat). RNAcentral describes it as "partial small subunit ribosomal RNA". The record is from RNAcentral. Lineage: Eukaryota; Viridiplantae; Streptophyta; Magnoliopsida; Poales; Poaceae.
AUGGACGAAGAUGAUCUUAUGGUUGGCUUGUUCUUUCGGGACACCCGACUCAUGGUAGGCCAAGUGCCUGCCGUCACUGAGCCUGAUCCUUGUCCCGGUGAUCGGAGGGCCGUCUGGGGAUCCGCAGAUCUUUGGAGGCGGAGCCUGAAGCUGACGGUACAGAACCGCAAGCAGGAACACGAAUGCAAGGCGGGGAAGCCUUUUGGCUAUACCGGAGCCGCCGGGAGCGGCCGGAGGCGGCGGGGCUUUCGUGCCGUUGCCGUUGGCGGAGGUGGACGACGGCUUCUCGCCCGGCCCUGCCAUGGCCAGAUCAGGCGCACCAAGUACAGCAGAGCGAAGCAACUAGGACGACGACGGCUGGGCGGUGGAUCGGAUGUGUGCAGCUGA